RNAcentral lists this ribosomal RNA (253 nucleotides) under uncultured bacterium. RNAcentral describes it as "partial 16S ribosomal RNA". It matches the Rfam family "Bacterial small subunit ribosomal RNA", at positions 524 to 776 of the family's 1533-position model. The record is from RNAcentral.
UACGUAGGGGGCGAGCGUUGUCCGAAGUUACUGGGCGUAAAGAGCGCGUAGGCGGGCUUCUAAGUGAGAGGUGAAAGGUUCGGGCUCAACCCGGAGAGUGCCUUUCAUACUGGGAGCCUUGAGUGCGGGAGAGGCAAGUGGAAUGGUCGGUGUAGCGGUGAAAUGCGCAGAUAUCGGGAGGAACACCGGUGGCGAAGGCGGUUCUCUGGGCCUGUACUGACGCUGAGGAGCGAAAGCGUGGGGAGCGAACAGG